This 484-nucleotide ribosomal RNA is filed under the name uncultured bacterium. Its description in RNAcentral is "partial 16S ribosomal RNA". It matches the Rfam family "Bacterial small subunit ribosomal RNA", at positions 30 to 507 of the family's 1533-position model. The record is from RNAcentral.
AUUGAACGCUGGCGGCAGGCCUAACACAUGCGAGUCGAGCGGAUGAAGGGAGCUUGCUCCUGGAUUCAGCGGCGGACGGGUGAGUAAUGCCUAGGAAUCUGCCUGGUAGUGGGGGAUAACGUCCGGAAACGGGCGUUAAUACCGCUUACGUCCUGAGCGAGAAAGUGGGGGAUCUUCGGACCUCACGCUAUCAGAUGUGCCUAGGUCGAAUUAGCUAGUUGGUGGGGUAAAGGCCUACCAAGGCGACGAUCCGUAACUGGUCUGAGAGGAUGAUCAGUCACACUGGAAAUGAGACUCCGUACAGACUCCUAGGGGCGGCAGCAGUGCGGUAUAUUGGACGAUGGGCGAAAGCCUGCUCCAGCCAUGCGGCGUGUGUGAAGCAAGUCUUCGAAUUUUAAAACACUUUAAGUGGGGAAGACGGGCAGUAAGUUAAUACCUUGCUGUGUUGACGUUACCAACAGAAUAAGCACCGGCUAACUUCGUG